AACGAACGCUGGCGGCAUGCUUAACACAUGCAAGUCGAACGAGACCUUCGGGUCUAGUGGCGCACGGGUGCGUAACGCGUGGGAACCUGCCCUUAGGUUCGGAAUAACUCCCCGAAAGGGGUGCUAAUACCGGAUAAUGUCUUCGGACCAAAGAUUUAUCGCCUUUGGAUGGGCCCGCGUUGGAUUAGCUAGUUGGUAGGGUAAAAGCCUGCCAAGGCGACGAUCCAUAGCUGGUCUGAGAGGAUGAUCAGCCACACUGGGACUGAGACACGGCCCAGACUCCUACGGAAGGCAGCAGUGGGGAAUAUUGGACAAUGAGCGAAAGCCUGAUCCAGCAAUGCCGCGUGAGUGAUGAAGGCCUUAGGGUUGUAAAGCUCUUUUACCCGGGAUGAUAAUGACAGUACCGGGUGAAUAAGCUCCGGCUAACUCCGUG
RNAcentral lists this ribosomal RNA (433 nucleotides) under uncultured bacterium. RNAcentral describes it as "partial 16S ribosomal RNA". It matches the Rfam family "Bacterial small subunit ribosomal RNA", at positions 29 to 507 of the family's 1533-position model. The record is from RNAcentral.